RNAcentral lists this transfer RNA (109 nucleotides) under Collariella sp. IMI 366227. Its description in RNAcentral is "tRNA-Arg". It matches the Rfam family "tRNA". From Rfam's summary of the family: Transfer RNA (tRNA) molecules are approximately 80 nucleotides in length. Their secondary structure includes four short double-helical elements and three loops (D, anti-codon, and T loops). Further hydrogen bonds mediate the characteristic L-shaped molecular structure. tRNAs have two regions of fundamental functional importance: the anti-codon, which is responsible for specific mRNA codon recognition, and the 3' end, to which the tRNAs corresponding amino acid is attached (by aminoacyl-tRNA synthetases). tRNAs cope with the degeneracy of the genetic code in two manners: having more than one tRNA (with a specific anti-codon) for a particular amino acid; and 'wobble' base-pairing, i.e. permitting non-standard base-pairing at the 3rd anti-codon position. The record is from RNAcentral. Lineage: Eukaryota; Fungi; Ascomycota; Sordariomycetes; Sordariales; Chaetomiaceae.
GGUCCGCUGGCUCAAUGGCAGAGCGUCUGACUACGAUGCCUCAAGAGAUCACCAGAUCUCGAGAGCUCAAGUAAUCAGGAGGUUCCAGGUUCGACCCCUGGGUGGAUCG